GGAGCUGAUUUCGACGCCGGUGGGCGGGCUUAGGCCUGGGGAAGUAGAAAAAAUAAUAAAUAAAUAAAUAAAUAAAUAAACAAAUAAAUAAAGCCGGGAGCGUCACCCGGGCAAUGGAGGAACCAGAAGCGCGGGAACGUUGUUGCUGAUGAAGGGCUAGGAAAGCGUUUGGGUCGCAGAGGAAAUACCUGCCAGCGUAGAGACGUGUCCGCGGAACCCAGGAAGUGGUGAGUGUGGCAGUGGGUCCCGGGAUAUCGAAGAACACACCUUCAGCCUCUGGGAGAGCACACAUCCAAGGCCUGACGAGCCCCAGCAGAGAGAGAGAAGCAGAGAGGCAGAGGGAGAAGCAGGCUCCAUGCAGGAAGCCCGACGCAGGACUCGAUCCGGGACUCCAGGAUCACGCCCUGGGUGGAAGGCAGCGCUAAAUCCCUGAGCCACCCGGACUGCCCUUAAAGUCUCUUUACACAAUCGAAUCAAAAUCAGUUUCAAUCAAGGGUACAUGUUCUUUUUUUUUUUUUUAAGAUUUAUUUAUUUAUGAUAGACAGAGAGAGAGAGAGGCAGAGACAGGCUCCAUGCCGGGAGCCCGAUGUGGGACUUGAUCCUGGGACUCCAGGAUCGCGCCCUGGGCCAAAGGCAGGCGCUAAACCGCUGAGCCACCCAGGGAUCCCCAAGGAUACAUGUUCUAAAAUACUUUUUUUUUUCCAUUUCCCCUUUCCUCCAUACACACUAUCAACACCCUAACCCAAGCUACCAUCACCUCUGGCCUGGAAUUUCUCAGUAGACUUCUAACCAAAUUUUCCUGAAUCCACUGCUCUCUUUUAGGAUGCCAAGGUGAUAUUGAUAGAAUAUCUUUGUAGUCAUAUGACAACUAACCUCCCAGCCCCUCCAGCUUAAAACACUGCAAUGGUAAAUAAAUCUUUUUUAAAAAGAGGGGGGCGCCUGGGUGGCUCAGUCCGUUAAGCUUCUGGUUCUUCAUUUCUGUUCAGGUCAUGAUAUUGGCAUCAUGGGAUUGAGCUCUGUACUCAGUGUGGAGUCUGAUUGAAUUUCUCUCUCUCCCUCUCCCUUCUAAAAUAAAUAAGUAAAUCUUUAAAAUAAAUAAAAAACACUGCAGUGGUUUCCCAUUGUUCCUAAUAUUGGCCUUCCUUCUUCCUCUGUAUAGCCACCAGGCCUUUGUGCAUGCACUUUGCCUCCCUAGAACCCUGUUUUCUCCCAAGUUAAAGCACAGAACAAUAAUCCAAGUUUCCCAACUCCCAGGCUGACUGUCUAUAAUGCAGGUAUAUUACUGGGGACUAAUAAUUAUCCAGCAGGAAGAAAAUAUGAUUUGGAGGUUCAAAAUAAGGGUAAGAGUGUGGGCUUUGGAGCCAGUCGGCCUGAGUUCCAAUCCUGGUUCUGUUCUGUACUAACCAUGUAAACUUGGGCAACUUGUUUAGCAUCCUUGCUUUAUUUCUUCUGUUGUAUCAUGAGCAGUAAAGGUACCUACCUUACACAGUUGUAUUAUCUAAAUAAGUUAACACAUGGAAAGGAGCUCAAUAAAUGUUCACUUUAGGAAGUCUCCACUAUAGAUUAAGGACCCUCUCUCUAAAAUAAAUAUUCUUAGGUAAAGAAUAAAAUCAACCUUGUUGAUAUUCUCUUGUUUUCUUGGAGAAAAACAGACACAGCAAACAACUGGCAGGCCCUCCUAGGGCAGGGAAAGGCUGGUCCCAGCAGAUAAGCCUUCAGGGACUGCACUACAUAGGGGAAGGCAUACGAUUACUAAUUGAAAACAAGUCCCAGGCCCCAGGUGCUAGUGCGUUGAGAUAACAUGAAGCCUAGGGGUUUUUAAAAAUACAGA
Long non-coding RNA from Canis lupus familiaris (dog), 1831 nucleotides. RefSeq lists it as uncharacterized. Lineage: Eukaryota; Metazoa; Chordata; Mammalia; Carnivora; Canidae. The transcript has 3 exons. The record is from RefSeq and is a predicted model, not a curated record.